This 428-nucleotide ribosomal RNA is filed under the name uncultured bacterium. RNAcentral's name for it is "bacterial SSU rRNA". It matches the Rfam family "Bacterial small subunit ribosomal RNA", at positions 11 to 439 of the family's 1533-position model. The record is from RNAcentral.
GUUUGAUCAUGGCUCAGAUUGAACGCUGGCGGUAUGCUUAACACAUGCAAGUCGAACGGUAGCAGGCCUUCGGGCGCUGACGAGUGGCGGACGGGUGAGUAACGCGUAGGAAUCUGCCUCAUAGUGGGGGACAACGUGGGGAAACUCACGCUAAUACCGCAUACGCCCUACGGGGAAAGGACGGGGGGAGUCUUUCGGACCUCGCGCUAUGAGAUGAGCCUGCGUUAGAUUAGCUAGUUGGUAGGGUAAAGGCCUACCAAGGCGACGAUCUAUAGCUGGUCUGAGAGGACGAUCAGCCACACUGGGACUGAGACACGGCCCAGACUCCUACGGGAGGCAGCAGUGGGGAAUAUUGGACAAUGGGCGCAAGCCUGAUCCAGCAAUACCGCGUGUGUGAAGAAGGCCUUAGGGUUGUAAAGCACUUUCAA